This 666-nucleotide ribosomal RNA is filed under the name Triticum aestivum (bread wheat). RNAcentral's name for it is "partial small subunit ribosomal RNA". Lineage: Eukaryota; Viridiplantae; Streptophyta; Magnoliopsida; Poales; Poaceae. The record is from RNAcentral.
ACGGCGACGGCGGGAGGCCGCACGCAUCGUACAGGGAGGCCAGAAGGCGACGGCGCAAGAUGGCGGCACGCACCGGACGGGGAGGCUGGAAGGCGACGGCACGCGGAGGCCGCACGCACCCGACGGCGACGGCGGAGGUCGAUUUGGAUUAUCCGCUGGUUAACCAGCUUCAUCUACCUGGUGUAUAUAUGGUUUCUGCUGCUAUUGUUAAAUCUUAAAGAAACAUCUGUUCCUGGUUCAGGUGUUUACAAGUUCCCUUUGUUCAAACAUGGAAAUGAUUUAUUUGCAAACUUCAAUGCAAAAUGUGCCGCAUCCAGAUUAUUGGUAUCUUCUCUUUUUCUUUUCUUGGGAGAGGUUUCUUCUAUGCUUGUUCCGACCAUUAGAAUUUUCAAAGACCAGCGCCGCAAGAACAUGUCACUGGAGGCUCAAGAUACAAGGCAUAGCUGGAAGAGACAUCUUCCCAAGGGUUGGUUAUCCAAUUCUAAAAGAGGAGCUUGCUAUGGCCAUCCAGGGUCCAGGGCGAUUACAUACGCGGCGAAUGCAGAUGCAUAUGAUAAGCUCCAUGCCGACAUGACAAACAAGCACCAGUUGGGAGCCCAGAUGAAGAAGGCUGCCGAUGGGAGAAAAAGGAGAAGCGAUGAGAUGUUUAUGGCAGCUUAUGGAUGA